UCUCUGCCCAUGAAAAUUCUAUGGCCGCAGUAUUUUGACUGUGCAAAGGUAGCAUAAUCAAUAGUUUUUUAAUUGGAAACUUGAAUGAAAGAGUUGAUGAAAUUUUAACUUUAUUUUAAUAAAAUUAUUGAAUUUAAAAUUUAAGUAAAAAUUCUUAAAUAAUUUUAUGGGACGAGAAGACCCUAUAGAAUUUUAUAAAAAUUAUUUUAAUUAUUAAUUUAAUUAUUGUUUUAAUUAAAUUUAAAUUAAUAUUUUAUUGGGAGGAUUAUUAAAUUAAUUAAACUUUAAUAUUAAAAUUUAUUCAUUAAUUAAAUGAUAUUAAGGAAUUUUUAAAAUAAAUUGUUAGAUUAAAUUACCUUAGGGAUAACAGCGUAAUAUUUUUGGAGAGUUCUUAUUAAUAAAAAUGUUUGCGACCUCGAUGUUGAAUUAAAAUUAAAUUUUAAUGUAGAUAUUUAAAUAUUUAAGUCUGUUCGACUUUUAAAAUUUUUCAUGAUUUGAGUCAAAUC
RNAcentral lists this ribosomal RNA (506 nucleotides) under Bethylus cephalotes. RNAcentral describes it as "partial 16S ribosomal RNA". The stretch from base 363 to 506 matches the Rfam family "Archaeal large subunit ribosomal RNA", at positions 2542 to 2685 of the family's 2987-position model. Lineage: Eukaryota; Metazoa; Arthropoda; Insecta; Hymenoptera; Bethylidae. The record is from RNAcentral.